CCUCGCCAUCACGCCUCUGCCCCUCUCCGCAGGCCCCCGCCACGGAGCGCGUCCACCGUGGCCUCGACGGCGUCGAGCGCACCUUCACCAUCAGCUACAUCCCCAAGCCGGACUACGCCGUCCCCUACCUCGCCUCCGCCACCGCCCACCGCCUCCUCGCCCACGACGACAUCUUCUGCGCCGCCUGCCUCGGCGUCAUCGCCGCCCCGGCCCUGAUGCCGCCGCCGGCUCCAUGGUCGUCGAGUUCUAGUCCAUCGUCGGUGUCGCCCGGGCCACGCUCCACUGCUUCUCGUCCCACACCGGCGCCUAGGUCACCACUCACCAAGGCCGUCCGCAGCCCGCUCCCGCACUGGAUCUAGAAUUUCGACGACGUCGUCUCCCACAGCGGCAUGGGUCGACACCGCCGCGGGACUCGAUCCUCGCCUGUGACCCCUUCGCCCACUCCCCACUUCCCCAGGCCCAGGGACGACGAUGACGCUGACGCUGCUUCACGCUGCUCCUGCUACUACUGCUCCGAGAGAAUGAUCGCCUCCCACCGCGUCGUGCAGCUCAGCAACGACAGCUUUCGCUGCGUCCACAUCGCCCCCGCCCGCCACGGCACCGCGCCCACCGUCACCGCGCGCACGACGCUCGCCAACCCGGAGACGACCGACUGGACGCUCGACUACCAGGCGUCCAUCGCCGACAUCUGAGCAGACACCACCUACAAGGCCACGGCCCACGGGGCUACCGCACAAGGAACCCGUCGUCGCGCUCAUCCACCCCAUCAACACCGACGUCCUGUACUGCUUCCUCGACGGCUACCUCUUCGGCGUCGACAUGUGUGCCAGGAAGGUGGUCCAGUACGAGGCUCACGGGAUGGCCCAAGACAGCGUCUCUUCCUCCUCUGUUCUCGGCUUCUCGCCUGCAAGCUGCCCCCCGCGCGCACAAUGGCAAUCGCAGUCCCAGGCUCCCAGCCCCAGGAAUGGCUAAAGGUCUAGUGGAUGCUACGGCUUAGGAGUUGGGAGUUCCUGAACAAGGCAAACUGGAACGGUUUGCUUUUCUUCUUGGAAUGGCUAAAGGUCUAGUGGAUGAUACGGCUUAGGAGUUCCUGAACAAGGCAAACUGGAACGGUUUGCUUUUCUUCUUGGUUUCGGUGGGGAUGAACAUGUCAAUGCUUCAAAUAAUGAGUCCACAACAGCAGCAUCAACUUGAAGUGCUGGGAUUGGGAAUACUGGCUGACCUUUUUGGCAGGUUUAGGAAGCAAUAUGUGACCGACAUCAAGUUACUACCAGAGGCGUGUUAGGAUGUGGCAUCACGUUCCAUGGCGAGAACGCAUGCUUGUGUGUUUAGUAGUAGUUUAGAUAGUUUAUCGCUCAUGUCAGGUCGUCACGAUGAACAAUGGACAUGUUAUUCUUGGGAACUGGAUCUCGUUCUGAGGCCUUGGAUCGGUCGAUGUCAGAGUGGUAGUAUGGGAGGGUGUUUGGAACUGCUUCACGUUUUUUUUAGCUCCGUUCCACGUUUUUUAGCCAAA
Molecule: long non-coding RNA, 1513 nt
Organism: Sorghum bicolor (sorghum)
Lineage: Eukaryota; Viridiplantae; Streptophyta; Magnoliopsida; Poales; Poaceae
Exons: 5
Source: RefSeq, a predicted model, not a curated record